GAGGGUAUAGCUCAGUGGUAGAGUGCGUGCCUAGCAUGUAUGAGGUCUGGUUUCAAUCCCCAAGACCUCCA
This 71-nucleotide transfer RNA is filed under the name Camelus bactrianus (Bactrian camel). It matches the Rfam family "tRNA". Rfam says of the family: Transfer RNA (tRNA) molecules are approximately 80 nucleotides in length. Their secondary structure includes four short double-helical elements and three loops (D, anti-codon, and T loops). Further hydrogen bonds mediate the characteristic L-shaped molecular structure. tRNAs have two regions of fundamental functional importance: the anti-codon, which is responsible for specific mRNA codon recognition, and the 3' end, to which the tRNAs corresponding amino acid is attached (by aminoacyl-tRNA synthetases). tRNAs cope with the degeneracy of the genetic code in two manners: having more than one tRNA (with a specific anti-codon) for a particular amino acid; and 'wobble' base-pairing, i.e. permitting non-standard base-pairing at the 3rd anti-codon position. RNAcentral also lists the same sequence under 1 other name. Lineage: Eukaryota; Metazoa; Chordata; Mammalia; Artiodactyla; Camelidae. The record is from Rfam by way of RNAcentral.